AGUGAACGCUGGCGGUAGGCUUAACACAUGCAAGUCGAACGGCAGCACAGUAAGAGCUUGCUCUUACGGGUGGCGAGUGGCGGACGGGUGAGGAAUACAUCGGAAUCUACUUUUUCGUGGGGGAUAACGUAGGGAAACUUACGCUAAUACCGCAUACGACCUACGGGUGAAAGCAGGGGAUCUUCGGACCUUGCGCGAUUGAAUGAGCCGAUGUCGGAUUAGCUAGUUGGCGGGGUAAAGGCCCACCAAGGCGAGGAUCCGUAGCUGGUCUGGGAGGAUGGUCGCCGACACGGGAGCUGAGACACGGUCCAGACUCCUACGAGAGGCAGCAGUGGGGAAUGUUGGACAAUGGGCGCGAGCCUGAUCCAGCCGUACCGCGUGGGUGAAGGAGGCCUUCGGGUUGUAAAGACCUUUUGUUGGGAAAGAACAGCAUCAGGUUGAUACCCCGCUGUUCUGACGGUACCCGAAGAAUAAGCACCGGCUAACUUCGUG
RNAcentral lists this ribosomal RNA (492 nucleotides) under uncultured bacterium. RNAcentral's name for it is "partial 16S ribosomal RNA". It matches the Rfam family "Bacterial small subunit ribosomal RNA", at positions 29 to 507 of the family's 1533-position model. The record is from RNAcentral.